GGGGUGAAGUCGUAACAAGGUAACCGUAGGGGAACCUGCGGUUGGAUCACCUCCUUACCUGCAAGA
Molecule: ribosomal RNA, 66 nt
Filed under: Cronobacter muytjensii
Lineage: Bacteria; Pseudomonadati; Pseudomonadota; Gammaproteobacteria; Enterobacterales; Enterobacteriaceae
Description: partial 16S ribosomal RNA
Rfam family: Bacterial small subunit ribosomal RNA (bases 1-57)
Source: RNAcentral